This 501-nucleotide ribosomal RNA is filed under the name uncultured bacterium. RNAcentral describes it as "partial 16S ribosomal RNA". It matches the Rfam family "Bacterial small subunit ribosomal RNA", at positions 30 to 523 of the family's 1533-position model. The record is from RNAcentral.
AUUGAACGCUGGCGGCAGGCUUAACACAUGCAAGUCGAGCGGAGAUGAGGUGCUUGCACCUUAUCUUAGCGGCGGACGGGUGAGUAAAGCUUAGGAAUCUGCCUAUUAGUGGGGGACAACAUUCCGAAAGGAAUGCUAAUACCGCAUACGUCCUACGGGAGAAAGCAGGGGAUCUUCGGACCUUGCGCUAAUAGAUGAGCCUAAGUCGGAUUAGCUAGUUGGUGGGGUAAAGGCCUACCAAGGCGACGAUCUGUAGCGGGUCUGAGAGGAUGAUCCGCCACACUGGGAAUGAGAAACGGCCCAGACUCCGACGGGAGGCAGCAGUGGGGAAUAUUGGACAAUGGGGGGAACCCUGAUCCAGCCAUGCCGCGUGUGUGAAGAAGGCCUUAUGGUUGUAAAGCACUUUAAGCGAGGAGGAGGCUACUGAGACUAAUACUCUUGGAUAGUGGACGUUACUCGCAGAAUAAGCACCGGCUAACUCUGUGCCAGCAGCCGCCGUAA